UCACAGCCGUUCACUGAUUGCUCACAUUAAGUUGUGUGGUCGUUGUCGCCUCGCAGGUGACAUGAAUUCGUAUUUAUUUUCAGAUGGAAGAUGUGUUUUAUCUUCUACAGCAGGAAUGUGAAAGUCUAAAUGACCUUUUAGAAGAAAAACUUGACAUUAAACUCCUCUGUGUUGACCGAGAGAUCAACCAGAGACUCUGUGUGGAGGAGGAGAGGAGACGAACCGAACCGGACCGGACCGCGUGUGUUCCGGAUCGGAUGGUUCCUGGUCUAGAAACAGUCUUUCAGGAUCUCAAGCAUCUCUCUGAGGGGAUUCACGUUCCCUAACAUGAAGACGGACUUGACAAGAACGAAUUUCAGUCGUGGUCUUCAUCAUCUUUACCGACUGGUGAAGCUCGCUGAGGAGCCAGAAGGAGAUCUACAACACAAUAAAUCAUCCGUGCAUCACGACCGACAGAACACACACACGCGCUACAGAUGUCAACAUGACGAGGCCAGAUGUAUGUGCCUGUUUGAUGUUUCCUGGUUCGUCCAGAUGGGACAGAGCUGGAAAUGAUCAAGAGACGAGACACGAUGAGAGACAUGGAGGAAAUAAAAAUAAAUAAAUAAAAAAAAAUCUGUGUAUAAUCAUCAGUCAGCUAUUUGUUAGACAUGUGAGCAACAUCUGUGUCCGUGUGUGUGCCGACAAAGACGGGAAGAAAAAGACGAGAGAAGAAGCGGACGACAUGAGAGCAAACGAAACAUAUGGGAGACAAAUGUGUGUGUAAAAGAGUAAAAGAUACGGCUUUCUGUAUUAAAGAAAUAUAAUUUAUAGAUAUUUUUUAUCCCUGGUUGUCAGUAGAGAUACAGGAGGCAUAGAGACGGAUGACUAAAAGAUGGUUUUGUUUAUAAAAAUCACUUUCUAUUUAACUUUAACAUGAUCUGAAGAGCAUAUUUAAGGAUGUUCUUGCAGUCAACUUAGAACAUAUCUUGGAAAAAAGGCAAACAUUGGUUGGACACAAGUUCCUUCAGUGUAAAACACUAAUCUCAGAUUCCUCCCUCUUGUCUCAGGUUAACAUGUUUCUGCACGAAAAAGUUUCCCCAUUAAAAUAAAGUUUUGAUUCUCUACA
Long non-coding RNA from Sebastes umbrosus (honeycomb rockfish), 1108 nucleotides. RefSeq lists it as uncharacterized. Lineage: Eukaryota; Metazoa; Chordata; Actinopteri; Perciformes; Sebastidae. The record is from RefSeq and is a predicted model, not a curated record. The transcript has 3 exons.